UGCUAACUUCAUUUUUAUUUAUCAAAAUGAAAAAUUCACAAAUAACUAAAUUCAAUGCGCACUCAACACGUGCCGCCUAACACAGAACUAGAGUGCGCGGCAAUUAAUCAGUUCAUAACGUGGAUCAAGCGAUGCAAUGAUUAGAGGGGCGUUAACUAAAAAGGAAAAAAAAACAAUCUCUACUAUCAUUUCUCGGUUGCAGUUACGCCUGCAAACGUGGGCCACACAUCUGGCUGGCUCAACUUGUUGCCAACUGCCGUUACAAGCUACAACUCUGUUGUUGUCACACAAAGACUGAAAUCGAGAGUAAGGCUUAAGUGGAGCAGGGGCUGUUUGCCUUGAUCGCCGGCACUUGCAAUUAUUAAUAGAAAAAUUCACGUAAUGUUGAACGAACGACAAAAAUAAAAAAACAACUGGAUACCAGGUUAAAUAAUUGUAUGCAAACACUUUGGGAGUAACAGAUCCGUCUCAACACCUACGUGGCCCCCCUCAGUAGAGAGAAAGAGAGAUUGGCUCUCCUAUAUGUCCAGACAUCCCCUAGGCUCAGCUAGUUACGAAAUUGUCGAGUGCAAAUGGACUUAAAUGUAACGCCAAGUCGAUGCAUUUGCGAGCAUGAUAAGCGGAAAGUCGACUGGUCGGUCAGUCGAUUCAAUAAAAGUGUCAAACAAACGAUCGUCUCUGGGGCCUGCCAAUCGGUUGCCCCCCGCCCACCACAAACUCAGUCUCGGACCCAGAGUCUCGGCAUCAGCACCUCAGUCCAGGUGUAACGCAGGGGCACGCAGGGCGCUGGCUUGGAAUGAGCAAACAAAUAAACGGCUAACCGCGAACAGUGAACAGUGAACAGCGAACUGCAGUAGCCAAGUAGACAAGAGUCGACGCCGACGUCGUUGUUGUUACCGUGUCAUGUUGGCAGCCAAGCCCAAUAGCAAUUGGCCAUAAAUCUUGCCUGGCCAGUUGAGUUGCCUGUUGGCUGCCAUUCACUUUUAUUCGCAUACGGUUUUAUUCUUCGCUUGCUGCGUGACGCACGACGCAGUUCAUAGAUGGAGUCGAUUGCCGAAGUCAAUGCAACGCAAAUGAUUUCCUCCUCACCCAACGAAACAAGUUCAAGUUUACGCACUGCAAAACGGAAAAUUCAACGAAAAGGCUUCCUGCUCUACUCGAAUGUGGCCCACUGAAUGUGGCCAGCAAGAUUAACACAAGCCAAGGCCACAGCAUUCAGAGUAUUCAUUUGGGCCAACGCACAACAAACGCAUUGCACUUUGCAGGCUGCCGGUUUCUCGAUCUUGUUUUUGGCCAUUAUGCAGCUUGGCUUUUGUUUUUUUGCUUGUCUACAUUACAUGUUUAUGUUUAUGCUCAUGUGCUCAUGAUAGCGCGUGGGCGACUCAAUGAAUUACUGAAUAAGGUUAAUGGACUAACUGAUCCAAAUACGGGAAUUGAGUGUUAUACGAGGCAAGACCAAAUAUAUGACUUGUCGUAUUUCAAUUACUUGAUUUUAUGGCACAUUAUUGAGUCGUAGAGCGGUUAUAACUGCGGCUUAAGUGACUAAUUUAACACGACAUUAUGAUCGAGGCAGGAUUAAGCUUAAAGCAAAUCGAAAUAAUUUCAAUAAAAUCCAGUCUAGUGAAAGAAUUUAAAUGGUAUAAUUAUACUUUAAGCAACUAUUAUUAAAAGUAUUACCAGAAAAUAAUCAUUUUAUUUUAUUAUACCAUUAAUAUUUUUUGUAUAAAAAUAUUUAUUGGAAA
This is a long non-coding RNA of Drosophila nasuta, 1742 nucleotides long. RefSeq lists it as uncharacterized. NCBI's taxonomy places the organism in Eukaryota, Metazoa, Arthropoda, Insecta, Diptera, Drosophilidae. The record is from RefSeq and is a predicted model, not a curated record. The transcript is spliced from 3 exons.